GAGUCAGUCAGCUUCCUGUUGCCUACAAGAUAUAUGACUAGCAGCUACAUUGCCUGUACACUGCCAUGCUCCCUGCCAUGAUGAUAAUGGACUGAACUUCUGAAACUAACCAACCACAUGGAUCUGUCAAAAACCUCUAAUAGACCUAGAAGCAACAUAGAUUUCCCCAGAGACAAUCUUUGGCUAUCUUCCCAGGACAGAGUUUCUCAAUGUAGCUUUGGAGCCUGUGCUGGAAGUCGCUCUGAAGACCAAGCUGGCCUUGAACUCACAGAGAUCUGCCUGCCUUUUUUUUCUGAGUACUUUGGAUUAAAGGAGUGUGUCACUAUUAAAAAAAAAAAAGAGCUUAUCUCCAACUGCCUGGACAGCUAUCCAGACUACACACUAAGGCUCUGGCAGCAUGGAAGAUAAAGGACUAUGGACAAUUGAUAGGAUGUUUGUGGGAGCAGCUGCAAUCUCAUACAACAGCUUAUGUAUCAAAUAUAAGUAAACUCACUUGAAGAAUGUGAGGAGGAAAACCAGAAAUAAAAGAAGUAUGGCAUUGAAAGCAGCAGAAAGCUGCUGACAGUGGGCUUUCCGAAAAAGAAAAGCAGUCAAAGGAUGAUGCAUUGUUGCAGAGCAGAGCAAGGUGCAGGGGAAAGUCCCAGGGAAAUGUGCAAGAUUCAGCACGCUUACCACUGCAGAAAAAAAAAAAAUGCCAAUGAGCAAUGUGUUGAUCAAAGUUCUGAGGAGGAGAGAUGCUCAAAUAUUUACUCAGAGCACUUCGCCGAAAGGUACCCAAGGGUGCUCCAAGGUGGCCACCAACUGACUUUUGGCAGAGACAGCAUUUCCUCUGUUCUAAGGGACCAUUCAUUCCCACCUGGCGCUUCCUCACACUCCCUCCCUCCUGCUCUAGCGCUCCUUAGGAAGAUGUUUUAUGAACUGUGUGCUUGAAUAUUUUUGUGCUUGCAGCAAAGAAUGUUGUUUUCCUAAAUCAAGAAGGAGAACAGAAACUUUGAAAACUGGGCUUCUCAGCCUCAGGAAUGCUGCUGCUCAGACACUGUCCUGGAAAGGACUACAAAUGAUACAGCUCCACACCUGGAGACAGACACCCUACUGUGAUGCCCACGCACCAUCUGCUGCCUCUGUUUCUCCACUUGCUGGCUUUGGGAAACCUUUUCUCAUCUGUUAAUGCAAAUUCUGUCUGAACCAAGGGAAGAGCUGUCUUGUCUACCACCUGGAUCACCUGGCAACAGCAAAGGUAUCUCAGAAGAGCUCAUGUGAACCGACCUUCAUCAACCUUACUUUAAAACAGUGGAUUAGUAGUUCAUUUCAUGACAAAAACAAACCAACAUUCCCUUGAACAGAGUAUUUAUAUAGAAAGAGUAAUGUAACCAAUCUCAAAAUAUUGG
Molecule: long non-coding RNA, 1388 nt
Filed under: Cricetulus griseus (Chinese hamster)
Lineage: Eukaryota; Metazoa; Chordata; Mammalia; Rodentia; Cricetidae
Description: lncRNA (ENSCGRG00015037436.1)
Source: RNAcentral